This is a long non-coding RNA of Gossypium arboreum, 318 nucleotides long. RefSeq lists it as uncharacterized. The transcript has 2 exons. The record is from RefSeq and is a predicted model, not a curated record. NCBI's taxonomy places the organism in Eukaryota, Viridiplantae, Streptophyta, Magnoliopsida, Malvales, Malvaceae.
GAAAACUAAAAUUCGGGCUAAAAUGGGGAAAUACCAAGUUGUGGACGAAAUGGCAAAAGUAGCCAUUUUCGCAUACGAGUUUUGACAAGCCAGCUCGGAAAUCGGGAACGGUCGGAGGCUCGCUCACACUAUCCGUAUACCAUCUUGGCAUAAUGGCUUGUAUAUUUUGAGUAUGGCAUGUAUAGCAUUAUAAUCAUUUUGUAUAUAUGGUCUUAUGAUAUGGUUAUUGAGUGGUAUGGAAAUGCUUGGUAAUGAUUAGCCAUUGGAAUGGCUAAUCAUGAUCAUAUUUGGUGUUAUGUAUGUCAAAUUGCUAGCUAA